AGAAAAGAAUGAUUAGAUUUUAAAAUUAAGCCAACAUUUUGUGCUCAGGGCGAGCUAGCCGUCCGUGCCUCGGUUCAUCACCGGUUCUUCAAUAUCUGAAAAGAAAAAAGAAGAGAGCAUACCCCAACCCCACCCUCACCCUUUCUGUUCUCAGUCUCACCUGAACCUCGACGGCGCUGUCGCUAUUCUAUUCUCUCUCAUCGCCCUCUAAUGCCGCCGACACUAUCAUUUUCCAGCGAUGACAAUCUUGAUCUUCAAGAAGUUAUUUCUAAUGGCUCAUUAGAUUUUGACGAGUGGACUUCAUUGAUUUCUGAGAUUGAGAAAUUAUAUCCUGAUGACGUGGAGAAAAUAUGUCUAGUUUAUGACCAUUUCUUGUCCAAAUUUCCUCUGUGUUAUGGGUAUUGGAGGAAGUAUGCUGCCCACAUGACAUGCAUAUGCGCCAUGGAUAAGGUUGUUGAAGUAUUUGAAAAGGCUGUAUUAGCAGCAACGUAUUCAGUAGGCAUGUGGGUUGAGUACUGUAGUUUUGGUAUGUCAGCUUUUGAGGACCCAUCUGAUAUUCGGAGAUUGUUCAAGAGAGCCAUUUCCUUCGUUGGGAAGGAUUACUUAUGUCAUAUCUUGUGGGACAAGUAUAUUCAUUUUGAGUUUUCCCAGCAGCAUUGGAUUUCUCUUGCUCACAUUUAUAUCCAAACUCUUAAGUUCCCAACCAAAAAGUUGCAUCAGUAUUAUGAUAGUUUUAAGAAGUUGCUAACCUUUUUGGAAGAGGGCAUAGCAAGCCUGGACAAUUCUCCAAAGGAAUUGCAAUCAGAACCAUGUUUUGAUGGUGAACUUCCUAUGACUAUGUGUUGCAAUGAUGACGAGGUUUAUAGGAUUAUCAAUGCUAUGAUGUAUUCAUCUGUUGGAUUGACUGGUUCAAUAGCCCUAAAAAGGUACAGGGCCAUUGGAGAACUGCUUUAUCAUAAUUCUUGUGAGUUGUAUUUGAAAAUUAGUCUCUUUGAGGCUAAUAUUCAAAGAAAUUACUUUCAUGUCCGGCCUCUUGAUGCAAAUCAGUUACAGAAUUGGCAUAAUUAUUUGGAUUUUAUUGAACUUCAAGGGGAUUUUGACUGGGCUGUGAAACUUUAUGAGAGAUGCUUGAUUGUGUGUGCCAACUAUCCUGAAUACUGGAUGCGUUAUGUGGACUUCACGGAAGCCAAAGGAGGAAGAGAAAUUGCAAACUAUUCUUUAGACCGAGCAACUGAAAUUUAUUUGAAGUGGGUGCCAGCAAUCCAUUUAUUCAAUGCUAGGUUUAAGGAACAAAUAGGAGAUGCUUUGGCUGCUCGUGCUGCAUAUAUUCAGAGUGGUAAAGAGACAAAUUCUGACUUUGUGGAGAAUGUUAUAUCAAAAGCUAAUAUGGAAAAACGUUUGGGAAAUACAGAGUCAGCUUUCAGUAUAUACAAAGAAGCAUUAGAAAUGGCUACAGCAGAGGAAAAUUUACAUGCCCUCCCCAUUUUAUAUGUUCAUUUUUCUCGGCUAAAAUAUAUGUGUACAAACAGUGUGGAUGCUGCUAGAGAUGUCUUAAUUGAUGGCAUCAGAACUUUGCCUCAAAACAAAUUGCUUCUUGAGGAGUUGAUAAUGUUCUCAAUGAUGCAUGGAGGUGAAAAGCACACAGCUGUAAUAGAUUCAAUUAUUGUGGAUGCAAUAUCUCCAAGGUCUGAUGUAUCUCAAGUUCUAAGUACAGAAGAUGCAGAGGACAUAUCAAACUUAUACCUAGAGUUUGUUGACUAUUGUGGAACCAUACAUGAUGUAAGGAAGGCAUGGAAUCGGCACAUAAAAUUAUUUCCAGACUCUGCCAGGAUAGAUUUACAUCAGCAAUCUGCUAGACGUAGAAGAUUGCUUAAUUUGGUUGACAAGGGAGAAGAGAUUUCUGUUGUCAUGCCUAAUCAAGCAUCUCGAGAUUCUCUUUCUGAUUUGCAUGUGCAUUUACCUAAAAAAGACAAGAAAGUGUCAUUGCUAGGUUAUUGUGAUACAAAGUCUGAUGCAGCUAAUGAAGGAUUAAUGUUGAUGAAAAAUCAUAAUACACAGUCUAACGAUGCAGAUACAUACAAGCUUCAAAUUGAGAAAUUCAAUGAAAAAGCAGAAGAAAAAGGAAGAGGAUUACCUCUCCCAGUUUCUGAGGAACCAAGAGACAGUGAUCCAGAAAAUCAUGUGUCAUCUGCCAAUUUAGUGGAAGUGAAAGAGGAAUCUACCGAAGUUAAGAAUUUAAAGGAUAAUUGUUCUGAAUCUAAUGUUCCAUCAGAGGAAUUAUUACAUAGACCAACUUUUGGAAAUCAAUCCUCACAAGCUUUGCAAGCAUUGUCAAAUGAAAAUGCUGCUUCUUCUAAGGAAAAGUGUGAGCUUGAGCCUGAAAAGUUGAAACCACUUUCUCUGACAAAUAUGUUAUUGAAUCCCUGGGAAAGCACAUGCCUUGAUUCAGGACAAAUGAUCUCUCAGGAGGAGUGUGAUGCAAUUCCAGAAAGCUGCAACUCAAAUAGUAGAGCAGCAGUUGGUGGUCAUAGUGCAAAUCAAGAAAAUUCUGCAAGCACUCAAGAUUCUGAUUCUGCCCAAAUUCACACUGAAAUAAACAGUCCACAUUCAGCACUCCAUCAAGACCAGAAAGCACGAAAACCACUUCUACCACCUCGGUCUUCUAGAAAUAGUGGUGGAAACUGGCAUCAGGUGAGAAAUGCUGGGCAAUUUCGUAGAGGUACCAAAUUUGGUUUUCGGGGAAAUACACAUAGAAAACAGCACCUACGGCAGCAGUUGUCUCCACAACAGAUUCAUCCACCUGGAGGGGGUGCACAAAUGGCUGUAACUCCAGGUUACUCCUCUCAAUCUGUAUUGCAAGUUCAGCAAUUCAAUCAAGGACAAAAUCAGUUUCAAUCUACUGCUACUCCUACUGAUUUUGUGGAACCUUAUUGUUGGCCUGUACAAAACAUUCAGAUACAAAGCACUUCAUCUCAGUCUCAAUCACCAACCAAUCCCACAUCACAUGAAUUACAACAUGCAAUGCAAGGCAAUGGGCAAUAUGGUUAUAUGCACAAUGGCCAAGAAUAUAAUCAGUUAUGGCAAUACUAUUACUACCAGCAGCAGCAAUUGCAACUACAGCAACAUUAUAGUAAAAUACAACAGCAACCAUUCCAGCAGGAACAGUCACAACUCCAACAGCAUAGUCAGCUGGAACCUUUUCACCCACAACAGCUACAACAAGUGCAGUUGCAACAACAGGUUAUGCAGCAGCAGCAGCAAUACUUUCAACAGCAACCUCUGCAACAAGAACACCCUGUUUACCUUCAGCAGCAGCAGCCACCAACACAGGCAAAUUUAGUUUCGUGUGUAUACUGUCAAUAAGAGCAGCAGCCAUCCUGUAGCAGACCAAGGGCAGGGAAUGGUGGCAUCGCAGGGCCACGGAACAAUAUCAUCGCAACAAUCAGGCAAACAUGGGUCGGUUUCUUCUGUUGCGCAUCAUCCCCAAGAGAAAUCUACCCAAGAAGAGUGACAUUUCGUUGUAGAUUUGACAGAAUUUCAAUUGUAAAAUUAAGAAUUUACCCGGCAAUGACUUGGCCCAACGACACUAUAUAAUAAACAUUAAUUUUUUGGCAGUUUUGAACCAAAAAAAAUGAAUAUAAUAAUUUGGAUUUAU
RNA transcript from Abrus precatorius (Indian licorice), 3655 nucleotides. RefSeq lists it as uncharacterized. The transcript has 14 exons. Lineage: Eukaryota; Viridiplantae; Streptophyta; Magnoliopsida; Fabales; Fabaceae. The record is from RefSeq and is a predicted model, not a curated record.